UAGCCCAGUGGUAAAGCACUUGCCUAGCAUGCAGGAGGCCCUGGGUCCAAAUCCCAG
This 57-nucleotide transfer RNA is filed under the name Ictidomys tridecemlineatus (thirteen-lined ground squirrel). RNAcentral describes it as "Spermophilus tridecemlineatus (thirteen-lined ground squirrel) tRNA". It matches the Rfam family "tRNA", at positions 8 to 63 of the family's 71-position model. From Rfam's summary of the family: Transfer RNA (tRNA) molecules are approximately 80 nucleotides in length. Their secondary structure includes four short double-helical elements and three loops (D, anti-codon, and T loops). The record is from Rfam by way of RNAcentral. RNAcentral also lists the same sequence under 1 other name. Lineage: Eukaryota; Metazoa; Chordata; Mammalia; Rodentia; Sciuridae.